Ochotona princeps (American pika) is the source of this 287-nucleotide long non-coding RNA. RefSeq lists it as uncharacterized. The transcript is spliced from 3 exons. NCBI's taxonomy places the organism in Eukaryota, Metazoa, Chordata, Mammalia, Lagomorpha, Ochotonidae. The record is from RefSeq and is a predicted model, not a curated record.
GGAGCCACAUCAACUUCACUGUAGUGAGGUAUGCUUCUACCUUGAACAACAAAAUUGAAAUGUAGAGUAAUAGACACCAGACAUGACAAGGGAAAGCUGGUGUGGUACUACACACGUAAAAACCAGAUUUGGGAAGUGUUCAGUUCUUUCACCUUAAUAAGAAAAGCUCUAAUUUGUAAUCCCACUCAUCAGACCCAUGUAAGAUCUCCUGUCCUCCUGGGACUCCAGUUAAAUGCAUAUUAGACACUUUGGCCAAUCCCACAGCUCAUUCAAGUUGUGUGGGUUUG